UACGGGGGGGGCAAGCGUUGUUCGGAAUUACUGGGCGUAAAGGGUUCGUAGGUGGCUCGCUAAGUCAGACGUGAAAUCCCUCAGCUUAACUGGGGAACUGCGUCUGAGACUGGCAGGCUCGAGUGCAGGAGAGGAACGCGGAAUUCCAGGUGUAGCGGUGAAAUGCGUAGAUAUCUGGAGGAACACCGGUGGCGAAGGCGGCAUCCUGGACCAACACUGACACUGAGGAGCGAAAGCCAGGGGAGCAAACGGG
Molecule: ribosomal RNA, 253 nt
Filed under: uncultured bacterium
Lineage: Bacteria
Description: partial 16S ribosomal RNA
Rfam family: Bacterial small subunit ribosomal RNA
Source: RNAcentral